GUCAUUGUUUGCUGACCUGACAACACAAAGACAAAGAAAGUGAAGCAAGAAGCCGCAAGAAACAUGUCUUCGUUGUGCUGGUCUUUGCUGGUCUGUGUCCUGCUGGUCGCUGGUCAAGCUGCAGCCAAGAGGACUGAUGCCAAGAUAAAGAGAGCAUCCGAUUGUGGCGAUGGUCAUUAUGCGUGCUCUAACGGGCAGUGCAUCCAGGAGGAGUGGUUGUGUGACACGGAGGAUGACUGCGGUAACAACGAGGAUGAAGUUGGCUGCCCAACCGACUGCUCAGGAGAACAUCAGGUGAAGUGUACCAACGGUCGAUGUGUUCCCUAGAGUACAGAUGUGACGGCGACAACGACUGUGGCGAUGGAACUGAUGAACAAAGAUGCGACACAUGGAAUGCUCGUCAUAUGAAAUCAAGUGUCCCAACAACAUCAUAUGUGUCGACUUAGAAUAUUUUUGUGAUGGAGACAGUGAUUGCCCGGAUGGCUCGGACGAGCUUCCUGCCAACUGUCCAGUGAGCACCACGAUGAGCGGAUAGAGGAUGUGAUGAGUAAAUAACACAAUACUGGCAAAACAAUACUGGGUCGCAAACUCUACACUCUAGAAAUGAUCUUAUCUCAGGCUUCUUGUGUGUAUCAUACUUUUUGUUAGCUGCUCCACAAAUAAAAUCAUGAGAAAACUGUU
Molecule: long non-coding RNA, 681 nt
Organism: Pomacea canaliculata
Lineage: Eukaryota; Metazoa; Mollusca; Gastropoda; Architaenioglossa; Ampullariidae
Exons: 4
Source: RefSeq, a predicted model, not a curated record